RNAcentral lists this unclassified non-coding RNA (332 nucleotides) under soil metagenome. Its description in RNAcentral is "partial contains 5.8S ribosomal RNA, internal transcribed spacer 2, and large subunit ribosomal RNA". The stretch from base 1 to 120 matches the Rfam family "5.8S ribosomal RNA", at positions 35 to 154 of the family's 154-position model. The record is from RNAcentral.
GAUGAAGAACGUAGCGAAAUGCGAUACGUAGUGUGAAUUGCAGAAUUCAGUGAAUCAUCGAAUCUUUGAACGCACAUUGCGCCCUUUGGUAUUCCUUAGGGCAUGCCUGUUCGAGCGUCAUUUAAACCUUCAAGCUCAGCUUGGUGUUGGGUGACUGUCCGCUUCACCGCGGACUCGCCUCAAAAUUAUUGGCGGCCGGUACAUUGGCUUCGAGCGCAGCAGAAACGCGAACUCGGGCCCGUCGUAUUGGCUCCCAGAAGCUAUCUUCACAAUUUUGACCUCGGAUCAGGUAGGGAUACCCGCUGAACUUAAGCAUAUCAAUAAGCGGAGGA